GCUCAGGAUGAACGCUAGCUACAGGCUUAACACAUGCAAGUCGAGGGGUAGCAGGGUAGCAAUACCGCUGACGACCGGCGCACGGGUGAGUAACACGUAUCCAACCUUCCCAUAACUCGGGGAUAGCCUUUCGAAAGAAAGAUUAAUACCCGAUAGUACUUAUAUAAGGCAUCUUAAAUAAGUUAAAGAUUUAUUGGUUAUGGAUGGGGAUGCGUUCCAUUAGAUAGUCGGUGAGGUAACGGCUCACCAAGUCUUCGAUGGAUAGGGGUUCUGAGAGGAAGGUCCCCCACAUUGGUACUGAGACACGGACCAAACUCCUACGGGAGGCAGCAGUGAGGAAUAUUGGUCAAUGGGCGAGAGCCUGAACCAGCCAAGUAGCGUGAAGGAUGACGG
RNAcentral lists this ribosomal RNA (393 nucleotides) under uncultured Bacteroidales bacterium. RNAcentral describes it as "bacterial SSU rRNA". It matches the Rfam family "Bacterial small subunit ribosomal RNA", at positions 22 to 414 of the family's 1533-position model. The record is from RNAcentral. Lineage: Bacteria; Pseudomonadati; Bacteroidota; Bacteroidia; Bacteroidales.